AUUGAACGCUGGCGGCAGGCCUAACACAUGCAAGUCGAGCGGAUGAAGGGAGCUUGCUCCUGGAUUCAGCGGCGGACGGGUGAGUAAUGCCUAGGAAUCUGCCUGGUAGUGGGGGAUAACGUCCGGAAACGGGCGCUAAUACCGCAUACGUCCUGAGGGUGAAAGUGGGGGAUCUUCGGACUUCACGCUAUCAGAUGAGCCUAGGUCGGAUUAGCUAGUUGGUGGGGUAAAGGCCUACCAAGGCGGCGAUCCGUAACUGGUCUGAGAGGAUGAUCAGUCACACUGGCACUGAGACGCGGUCCAGAGUCCUACGGGAGGCAGCAGUGGGGAAGAUUGGACAAUGGGCGAAAGCCUGAUCCAGCCGUGCCGGGUGUGUGAAGAAGGUCUUCGGAUUGUAAAGCACUUUAAGUGGGGAGGAAGGGCAGUAAGUUAAUACCUGGCUGUUUUGACGUUACCAACAGAAUAAGCACCGGCUAACUUCGUG
Molecule: ribosomal RNA, 484 nt
Filed under: uncultured bacterium
Lineage: Bacteria
Description: partial 16S ribosomal RNA
Rfam family: Bacterial small subunit ribosomal RNA
Source: RNAcentral